RNAcentral lists this transfer RNA (77 nucleotides) under Alphaproteobacteria bacterium. RNAcentral describes it as "tRNA-Pro". It matches the Rfam family "tRNA". Rfam says of the family: Transfer RNA (tRNA) molecules are approximately 80 nucleotides in length. Their secondary structure includes four short double-helical elements and three loops (D, anti-codon, and T loops). Lineage: Bacteria; Pseudomonadati; Pseudomonadota; Alphaproteobacteria. The record is from RNAcentral.
CGGGGUGUAGCGCAGUCUGGUAGCGCACCUGCCUUGGGCGCAGGGGGUCGUCAGUUCAAAUCUGGCCACCCCGACCA